RNAcentral lists this ribosomal RNA (327 nucleotides) under uncultured eukaryote. RNAcentral describes it as "partial 18S ribosomal RNA". It matches the Rfam family "Eukaryotic small subunit ribosomal RNA", at positions 1470 to 1796 of the family's 1831-position model. The record is from RNAcentral.
CCCUUAGAUGUUCUGGGCCGCACACGCGCUACACUGAAGGAGGCAGCGUGUACUCCUGGAUCGAAAGAUUUGGGUAACCCGCGAAUCUCCUUCGUGCUAGGGAUUGAGGUUUGCAAUUAUCCUUCAUGAACGAGGAAUUCCCAGUAAGUGCAAGUCAUAAGCUUGCGCUGACUACGUCCCUGCCCUUUGUACACACCGCCCGUCGCUACUACCGAUUAAAUGAUUUAGUGAGGACUUCGGACUGGGACCGAUGCGGCUUUCGGGCUGCGUCGGUAUUCUGGAAAGAUGUCCAAACUGUAUCAUUUAGAGGAAGUAAAANUCGUAACA